CUUGCUGAUGCGUGGUUCACGCAUGGCAUCAUGCUCUGAUACCUCCCCAGAUACAGCUUUCUGCCUCUCCUGCUACCAGGGCACCGUACCUAUUCUGCAACUGUGGACCUGUAGGUGGAGAAGGAACUGCUGUCCAUGUGCCAGAAGUCAUGUUAGUUAUUUUCAUCUCAUAAUUUCUAAUCAAUAUUGCAUUCAGCAUCACACCAGCUUGAAAGGAGGCAGAUAACAGCAUGUCAGAGAAGAGUGAGGGCUGGCUGCUCCCUGAAGUACAGAGAUCCUGGAGUCAAGAGCAGUAGUACUGCCAAGAAGGUAAGGGUCUCACCAGCAAGAGACCAGCUCCCAAUUCCCAGACGGUGCAAGCAGAGCAAGCCCAAUGAUGGUGGCUGGGUAUCACAAGAAGUCUGGGGUGGAAUGUGGAUUUAUUCAGUAGAAUAAUGUAAUUGGUUUUGUUCACAAUUUCCUAAUUUAAUUCUUUUUGGCCUUCCUUUGAGCAUUAGUUUUCACCAAGAACAACUGUCAAUAGUUACAUGAUUACUUUCAGGGGCAUUGAUAGCUUAUUGUUAUAUGUAGUUUGCUCUAAAAGUAAUGCCUCCUAUUUAUUUCCAUGGAAACCACAAAGCACACAAUAAUGCUGUUUGACAGAGUAAAUUCUCAGCUACAAAACACUUUUUUUCAACAGAAUCACCACCAUUAGCUAUUCAUUUUCAGCAGCGAUGAACAAGAGUCAGCAUGCUCUGCUCAUAAAAAUCUGCAUGACCAUCCGGAACAUGGCUUGUCUGUUAGAUCACUGUCACCACUGCCGAAAUGCACCACCCAUCACCUCACUGUGCUCACAUCCACUGUUUGGUCUACAUAAACAUUCAGCAAACAUUGAUGAAUGUCAGCAGG
This 888-nucleotide long non-coding RNA is filed under the name Gallus gallus (chicken). Its description in RNAcentral is "long non-coding RNA NONGGAT004198". Lineage: Eukaryota; Metazoa; Chordata; Aves; Galliformes; Phasianidae. The record is from RNAcentral.